Transfer RNA from Camelus ferus (Wild Bactrian camel), 73 nucleotides. It matches the Rfam family "tRNA". Rfam says of the family: Transfer RNA (tRNA) molecules are approximately 80 nucleotides in length. Their secondary structure includes four short double-helical elements and three loops (D, anti-codon, and T loops). Lineage: Eukaryota; Metazoa; Chordata; Mammalia; Artiodactyla; Camelidae. The record is from Rfam.
GAGGGUGUAGCCCAAGUGGUAAAGUGCAUGCUUAGCAUGCAUGAGGUCCUGGGUUCAAUCCCCAGCACCUCCU